This 1436-nucleotide long non-coding RNA is filed under the name Ficedula albicollis (Collared flycatcher). Its description in RNAcentral is "lncRNA (ENSFALG00000024581.1)". The record is from RNAcentral. Lineage: Eukaryota; Metazoa; Chordata; Aves; Passeriformes; Muscicapidae.
UGAAACACUCCACUCGCUUAUUGAUUGAGCCGCCGUCAAAUUCAAUCACGAGUGAAAAUGGAUUUUUUAAUGCGACUAUUAGCUGCUUUUGAAAGGCAAAUUGAGUUCAGUUAUACCGAGGCAGCCAUCAAAAAACAAUUUGCCGUCAGCCAGACGGGCCGGAGAGGAGCCCGGCCGGGAGCCGCGGCUGCGCGCCCGCGGAUCGGGAGAUCCGAGACGGGACUCGCGGGGAAUUACGGCUUUUCCUCCUCAAAAACGCGCCGGAUGAGGAAGGAGCAGCCCAGGAAUUUCUACAGCAGCAUAAUCCAAAGAUCUGCUUUCAAAGAGCCUCUGCUUCCCGCAAAGCUCCAGCCUCAGCUAAUGAGAGCUUAACCACAUGUUUGUGGUGGAUGAAAUAGUAUCAUUUUGCAAUUAUUAUCAUUCAAACAUUAUUUAUUUAACCCGCAGCCACAUUAUAUUGACUGCAGAAUUGCUGUCAUUUUUACUUUUGAUGGCUCUCUUAUUGAGCUGAGUGUGAGGAAUUAUGUUCCCAGUGUUGGGGAGGCUUUCCCUGCUCCCUCAGCCUCUCUCCAGCCAGGUCCCAGUCUCUGCCCUAGAGCUGGUGGUGUUUGGUACCAGAAUGCCCCAAAAUGGGCAUUUUCCCAACUUUUCCUCUGCUUCACUGGUCAUAUUUGGGGAAUUAAUCUCCUCUGACCACCAACACAAAGCCUUGUGCACCAAAGUACCAGGUAAGGACAAAAGGUGGAUUUGGUGUCACCCCCCAGCAGCUCUGAAAUCUCUUUUGUAAGAGCUGGAGAGGGGAGGCAGCAGCUGGGGAGCUCUGUGCACCCCUGAAAUUCCAAACAUGGGAUAACAGAGAGCCUUGGGCUCAAAACCCUUCUCCAAGGGAGCAGCAGGAUGAGCCUCAGCCAACAUCCCCGGGGUUUGCAGCAAAAUAAACAUCAAGGGGCGCUCAACUCAAGAUCUGAAUGUCAGCAGGGUGAAAAAAAGUCCGGCCUCCCUCUCCCUCCUGGCCCUGGUUCUUCCCUCACACGUCACUCUCCCAAAGCCUUGCAAGAUGUAUUCACACAACAGGAAAUCCAACAUUCCCCUUCGCCUUCUUCUUUCUUCCUCUCCUUUAAUUUUCCCCAAAUGUAAAUGAGGAAGUCAUCUCUCCUCCGGUGAUGAAACAUCUGCCUGGAGAAGCUUGCAGUGCAAUGCAACAUAUUUUGAUCACUGCUCCAUCUAAUUACAGAGAAGAGAAGAGAAAAAUCACAAAGCAGGGUUUGGGACUUUUUUUUUUUUUCCCCAAAACACAAGGCAUCUGAAAAAUAAUAGAAAAACAGCAACACUGACAAUCAGAGCAGAGGCAGCUUCCCCAUCAGCCUUGAAAAACAGCACUGGAAUACAGAACCUGCUUGGAAGGAGAGGGAUUUCAGGGCGAGAUAGGGAAAGAU